CUCGUGGACGUCGUUGCAGAGGUUUUGGAUCUCCGUCGUCGUCGUUAUCGCAGCAGAGCUCCGUCGCCGUCGCCAUCGCAGCAGAGCUCUGUCGCCGUCACCAUUGCAGCAGAGCUCCGUUGCCGUCGCCAUCGCAGCAGAUCGAACUCCUCCGUCUGUGACUGCUAAAUCCUUCACUCGGCAUCUAUAAAUGAGUAAUAUGGAUAGAAGUUGGAUGUAUCAAAGACUAACUCAGCGCGGUGAUCUUAAUCAAGAUUUAUGGCAAUGGUGAUGGGCUUACUAUCUACUUGCGUCUUUGGACAAUCGAAUACCGCAUCUCUACCGAUGAGACCGAACUAAUCAGGAAAACAUGGACUUGCUUGAAAAGAUUGAAUCUUUGAAACAAGAGCUUGGAUCAGUAAAGUUGAAAUGCAGCAUGAAACAAUCCAAGGGAGUUUUUGCUAUUGAGGGAACACCUAAGUAAGCUGCUUAAGGAAUUUACAGUACUUUUAUGUUUCCAGUAAAGGAAUUGUAAAGGGCAAGAAAUAUUAUACGAUUCACUUACGUUGAGUUGUUCUGUUAUAUUUUUAAAGGAGCAAUGCCUUAUUGAAUUGUUAGAGUUCUUA
Long non-coding RNA from Ipomoea triloba (trilobed morning glory), 605 nucleotides. RefSeq lists it as uncharacterized. The record is from RefSeq and is a predicted model, not a curated record. The transcript has 3 exons. Lineage: Eukaryota; Viridiplantae; Streptophyta; Magnoliopsida; Solanales; Convolvulaceae.